UUUGUGGGGUACUUUUGCUAAUUUUUUCCGCAGAAUGUAUCUUCCAAUAAAUCUCUCUCUUGAUAAAAAUAAGGGUGCAAAAGAUGGUUGAAAUAUGUUAUAAUUGUUUAUUUUUAUAUAUAUUUUUUUAUUUUUAGGAAUUUUUUUUAUAUUUUUUUAGAUUUUAAAAUUUAAGUUUAAUUGUUAAUACAAUUAAAUUUGUUAAUGUGAUAUUUUGAAAUUAGUAAUGAACUUGGAUUUAAC
This 243-nucleotide long non-coding RNA is filed under the name Gossypium raimondii (Peruvian cotton). RNAcentral describes it as "long non-coding RNA (GRAI_LNC009842)". Lineage: Eukaryota; Viridiplantae; Streptophyta; Magnoliopsida; Malvales; Malvaceae. The record is from RNAcentral.